GAUCAUGGCUCAGGAUGAAACGCUGGCGGCAUGGCCUAAUACAUGCAAGUCGAACGAGAAGUACUUGUACUUCUAGUGGCGAACGGGUGAGUAACACGUAGAUAACCUGCCCUCAAGACUGGGAUAACCGAUGGAAACGUCCGCUAAUACCCGGAUAGGUAAUCGAAAGGCACCUUUCGAUUAUUAAAGAUGGGACACAUCGCCAAAGGAUGGGCCUGCGUCUGAUUAGCUAGUUGGUGGGGUAACGGCCCACCAAGGCGAUGAUGGGUAUCCGGCCUGAGAGGGUGAUCGGACACAUUGGGACUGAAAUACGGCCCAGACUCCUACGGGAGGCAGCAGCUAANAAGUAUUCCGCAAUGGACGAAAGUCUGACGGAGCGACGCCGCGUGAACGACGAAGGUGGAAACAUUGUAAAGUUCUUUUAAUUGAGAGGAAUAAGCUUUGUAGGAAAUGACAGAGUGGUGACUGUAUCAAUUGAAUAAGCAUCGGCUAACUCCGUG
Molecule: ribosomal RNA, 500 nt
Filed under: uncultured bacterium
Lineage: Bacteria
Description: bacterial SSU rRNA
Rfam family: Bacterial small subunit ribosomal RNA
Source: RNAcentral